This 734-nucleotide ribosomal RNA is filed under the name Stenotrophomonas sp. 110602_136_C_D11. RNAcentral's name for it is "bacterial SSU rRNA". It matches the Rfam family "Bacterial small subunit ribosomal RNA", at positions 19 to 738 of the family's 1533-position model. Lineage: Bacteria; Pseudomonadati; Pseudomonadota; Gammaproteobacteria; Lysobacterales; Lysobacteraceae. The record is from RNAcentral.
AUGGCUCAGAGUGAACGCUGGCGGUAGGCCUAACACAUGCAAGUCGAACGGCAGCACAGUAAGAGCUUGCUCUUAUGGGUGGCGAGUGGCGGACGGGUGAGGAAUACAUCGGAAUCUACCUUUUCGUGGGGGAUAACGUAGGGAAACUUACGCUAAUACCGCAUACGACCUUCGGGUGAAAGCAGGGGACCUUCGGGCCUUGCGCGGAUAGAUGAGCCGAUGUCGGAUUAGCUAGUUGGCGGGGUAAAGGCCCACCAAGGCGACGAUCCGUAGCUGGUCUGAGAGGAUGAUCAGCCACACUGGAACUGAGACACGGUCCAGACUCCUACGGGAGGCAGCAGUGGGGAAUAUUGGACAAUGGGCGCAAGCCUGAUCCAGCCAUACCGCGUGGGUGAAGAAGGCCUUCGGGUUGUAAAGCCCUUUUGUUGGGAAAGAAAAGCAAUCGGCUAAUACCCGGUUGUUCUGACGGUACCCAAAGAAUAAGCACCGGCUAACUUCGUGCCAGCAGCCGCGGUAAUACGAAGGGUGCAAGCGUUACUCGGAAUUACUGGGCGUAAAGCGUGCGUAGGUGGUUGUUUAAGUCUGUUGUGAAAGCCCUGGGCUCAACCUGGGAAUUGCAGUGGAUACUGGGCGACUAGAGUGUGGUAGAGGGUAGUGGAAUUCCCGGUGUAGCAGUGAAAUGCGUAGAGAUCGGGAGGAACCAUCCAUGGCGAAGGCAGCUACCCUGGACCAAC